This 1203-nucleotide ribosomal RNA is filed under the name Triticum aestivum (bread wheat). RNAcentral's name for it is "partial small subunit ribosomal RNA". Lineage: Eukaryota; Viridiplantae; Streptophyta; Magnoliopsida; Poales; Poaceae. The record is from RNAcentral.
AUGAUGGACCGCGAGAUCGUCGGCCGGCACGCGCGCGGCAUGCUGCUCGCGGGCUACGCCUACGGCCUCCACGACCCCGUCUGCAACAUCCUCGCCAACUGUCUCUGGCACGAUGCGGUGUUCCCCGCUUCCUCGAGCCAGGAGGUUCGUCAGCCCAUGAUGCUGAGCUGCAAGGCCAUAUUCCGCCUGGCUCGCCGCUCCCUCGAUGCCCUCGUCGCCUUCAUGAGGGCGUACGCGCCCACCCUGUCUGCUGAAGAGGCCAUGUCCUACCUGAGCAGAAGCCAUGGCAACCUUCACCAUGCCGCCGUGCUUGUUGACAGAGAAGGUGUUUUCCACACAAACCGCAUGGACGACGCCUUCAGGGCUGCCAUUCUGGCAGCGCAUCUCCCUAGUGACGCAGCUCGCGAGGCUCAAUUCUUUUUCAUUGUCAACUGUGCUCCUACAGAUGCUUUUCUUGCAAAGCAUGGAAUUCAUGGUCACCCAUUAGCUUUUGGAUUAUCUGACCUCAGGCCGCAAAGCAAUUCAUCGCUUAUAGUGCUUGAAUUUGUCAAGUUGGUUGUUUCCAGUUUAGCUCUCACACAGCCGCCACCAAGCUCGCCGAGCCUAAGCCAAGGAGCAUAUAGAGCGUUAAGGAUCAAGAUGCAUGCCUUCAAGGGGGAUCAGGAGUUUUGCCUUGGUAUAGUAAACAUCGCACUCAAGAAACUUGCGUUCCAGUUUGGGGAACUUUAUCAGAUUCAUCUACUAUGCGGCAAAAGUUUGGUUACUUUGGUUCCUGACAGCUAUUAUCAUGUCAACUUCUUGGCAUCUCUUGAGAGCGAGCCUAAUCAGCCUAAGCUGUUUUUUGCUGAGAUUCGUGCUUCACUUCAAGAUGUGGAUGAUGUGACCUUGUGCUGUCCCGUGACAUUAUCAGGAAGAACUGGUGGAUGCUCUGCUUGUGAGUAUCUGGGAAUGAAACUCAUCCAUCCUGUAGAUGAGAAGUUCAAUGGACAAUGUGACUUCACUAAGGGUAGAGACCCACACAUUGCUGAACUUUUCAGGAAAGACCCUACCUCAGAGUUUGAUGUUCCACUGAUUGAUGAUUACAUUUUCGUUGAGCUUGAUCAACACCCUGAGGUUACAACCUUCCUGGAGACCACUUACUCCUAUAUGAGUGAUGAUCAAGUGGACCUGAGUCUUUUGUGGUUUGAAAAUUAUCUGCCUUAA